UUUGACGAUUGACUCAUGUUGCCUCGGCGGGCUCUCCCGCCAGAGGAUACAUCAAAACUCCUGUUUUAACGGUGUUGUCUGAGCUAUAAGCAACGAAUCAAAACUUUCAACAACGGAUCUCUUGGUUCUGGCAUCGAUGAAGAACGCAGCGAAAUGCGAUAAGUAGUGUGAAUUGCAGAAUUCAGUGAAUCAUCGAAUCUUUGAACGCACAUUGCGCCCCUUGGUAUCCCGAGGGGCAUGCCUGUUCGAGCGUCAUUUCACCACUCAAGCCUGGCUUGGUGUUGGGCGACGUCCCCUUUAGGGACGCGCCUCGAAACGCUCGGCGGCGUGGCACCGGCUUUAAGCGUAGCAGAAUCUUUCGCUUUGGAAGUCGGGGCCCCGUCUGCCGGAAGACCUACUCGCAAGGUUGACCUCGGAUCAGGCAGGGAUACCCGCUGAACUUAAGCAUAUCA
This 452-nucleotide ribosomal RNA is filed under the name uncultured Dothideomycetes. RNAcentral's name for it is "eukaryotic LSU rRNA". The stretch from base 102 to 255 matches the Rfam family "5.8S ribosomal RNA". The record is from RNAcentral. Lineage: Eukaryota; Fungi; Ascomycota; Dothideomycetes.